CACGUAGGCGGCUUGGUAAGUCAGGGGUGAAAUCCCACAGCCCAACUGUGGAACUGCCUUUGAUACUGCCAGGCUUGAGUACCGGAGAGGGUGGCGGAAUUCCAGGUGUAGGAGUGAAAUCCGUAGAUAUCUGGAGGAACACCGGUGGCGAAGGCGGCCACCUGGACGGUAACUGACGCUGAGGUGCGAAAGCGUGGGUAGCAAACA
This 207-nucleotide ribosomal RNA is filed under the name uncultured bacterium. Its description in RNAcentral is "partial 16S ribosomal RNA". It matches the Rfam family "Bacterial small subunit ribosomal RNA", at positions 568 to 774 of the family's 1533-position model. The record is from RNAcentral.